RNAcentral lists this ribosomal RNA (254 nucleotides) under uncultured bacterium. RNAcentral's name for it is "partial 16S ribosomal RNA". It matches the Rfam family "Bacterial small subunit ribosomal RNA", at positions 524 to 776 of the family's 1533-position model. The record is from RNAcentral.
CACGUAGGGUGCGAGCGUUGUCCGGAAUUAUUGGGCGUAAAGAGCUCGUAGGCGGUGUGUCGCGUCGGCCGUGAAAACCUGCAGCUUAGCUGUGGGCUUGCGGUCGAUACGGGCAUCACUGGAGUUCGGCAGGGGAGACUGGAAUUCCUGGUGUAGCGGUGAAAUGCGCAGAUAUCAGGAGGAACACCGGUGGCGAAGGCGGGACUCUGGGCCGAUACUGACGCUGAGGAGCGAAAGCGUGGGGAGCAAACAGG